RNAcentral lists this ribosomal RNA (433 nucleotides) under uncultured bacterium. RNAcentral describes it as "partial 16S ribosomal RNA". It matches the Rfam family "Bacterial small subunit ribosomal RNA", at positions 29 to 507 of the family's 1533-position model. The record is from RNAcentral.
AACGAACGCUGGCGGCAUGCCUAACACAUGCAAGUCGAACGAGACCUUCGGGUCUAGUGGCGCACGGGUGCGUAACGCGUGGGAACCUGCCCUUAGGUUCGGAAUAACUCCCCGAAAGGGGUGCUAAUACCGGAUAAUGUCUUCGGACCAAAGAUUUAUCGCCUUUGGAUGGGCCCGCGUUGGAUUAGCUAGUUGGUAGGGUAAAAGCCUACCAAGGCGACGAUCCAUAGCUGGUCUGAGAGGAUGAUCAGCCACACUGGGACUGAGACACGGCCCAGACUCCUACGGGAGGCGGGAGGGGGGAAUAUUGAAAAGUGGGCGAAGGCUUGAACCCGCAAUGCCGGGUGAGUGAUGAGGGCUUUGGGGUUGAAAAGCUUUUUCACCGGGGAUGAUAAUGACGGUACCGGAAAAAAAAGCCCCGGCUAACUCCGUG